This 301-nucleotide ribosomal RNA is filed under the name uncultured bacterium. Its description in RNAcentral is "partial 16S ribosomal RNA". It matches the Rfam family "Bacterial small subunit ribosomal RNA", at positions 509 to 807 of the family's 1533-position model. The record is from RNAcentral.
CAGUAGCCGCGGGAAUACGUAGGGUGCGAGCGUUAAUCGGAAUUACUGGGCGUAAAGCGUGCGCAGGCGGUUUUGUAAGACAGGCGUGAAAUCCCCGGGCUCAACCUGGGAAUGGCGCUUGUGACUGCAAAGCUAGAGUGCGGCAGAGGGGGAUGGAAUUCCGCGUGUAGCAGUGAAAUGCGUAGGUAUGCGGAGGAACACCGAUGGCGAAGGCAAUCCCCUGGGCCUGCACUGACGCUCAUGCACGAAAGCGUGGGGAGCAAACAGGAUUAGAUACCCCGGUAGUCCCUGUCUCUUAUAC